This 2640-nucleotide long non-coding RNA is filed under the name Medicago truncatula (barrel medic). RNAcentral's name for it is "long non-coding RNA (MTRU_LNC004779)". Lineage: Eukaryota; Viridiplantae; Streptophyta; Magnoliopsida; Fabales; Fabaceae. The record is from RNAcentral.
UCUUGCUUAAUGCUCAUACUAGUCUUUUACCUUUAACAAAUAAAUCAGUAUGAGUUUCCUUUUGAAUGGAUUUGGUUGUAUAAAACUAUGCUUUAUGAAUUGAACUAGACAGUUCAACCGGUUGAACUGUAAACCGGCACUGUCUAUGGUUCAUUGAACGGUUCGACUGUGGUUUUGCCAGUUCAAUGUUUAAAACAUUGGUAUAAAAACUUAAUAGUUUAAAGUAUUUGAUGCGGAUUUUUAAGUUCGAUUGAAUUCUAUCGAUUACUCCACAUAAUUUGUUACAUGUUUAAGGGCAUGUAACUUAAUUAACCGCCUGUUUGAUAAACUAUUGUAUAGAUGAUUUCAUCUAUUACUUUUGGCCUCUAGUAUUCAACUUCAUCUUGAACUUUUGAGAUAUAUUUCAAUUAUUUUUGUUAGGAAAUAUAAUUUAUAAGCUUAAUUAAUGUGAUUAUUCUUAUUAUUAUUCUUUAAAGUGACAAAAUUUCAAUACACAGCUCAUGUGUGAACAAGAAGAUCGUAAGGUUGCUUAAUUAUACCAGAUAAUAAUCUUUUCAUCUGUAUAAGGUCCUCAAGCCUUUCAUUAUUUGAGACAACCUGAAUAGUUCAUUAUGAUUAUCAACAUUUUGUGGAAAAGGCUUGGAAGCAAAAUAAAUGCAUGCCUAUUUUUGCCUUCAGCAAAGUCAGAAAACUACAAUGAUUUUAACCAUGAAGUUUUGGGAAACACAUUUAAGAAAGCUAACUAUGGAGAUUUGCAUCAAUGGCAUUCAGAAAUUUCUAAGUGUGGAAGGUUUCCCUUUGGGGUGCCAACCUAGUUGGGGUGUCAAGCUAUCCCCUGAUGCCUUCCUUUGCUUUUGAUUCAUCAAAAAAAUAAAAAAAAAACUUGUUGAAGAGGGCAAAAUAAAAUACAUUGGUUUGUCUGAAGCCUCAGCUUCAACAAUCAGAAGAGCACAUGCAGUUCAUCCAAUAACAGCUGUGCAGUUGGAGUGGUCACUGUGGUCAAGAGAUGUUGAGGAAGACGUAAUUCCAACUUGCAGGUGUGAUAUUUAGUUUACAAAUAUUAUGUUUUGUUCUCUAGUAUCUCUCUCUCACUCACUCUGAUACUUGCUACAAUUGCAAUGAUACAAAGCUAUGAAGCACUGAUACAUGCAUGCAUUAAACACGACAUUGACACACAGAUACCUGUGAUAAUUUAAGAAAAUGCAAGUGAAUAAAUGUAACUACAUAUGUCUGUGAUGUGUCAGUGUCGGACACCAAAACACGUUUUCAAUUUGAAUUGUUGGUGCUACAUAGAUAUGAAGUCUAACUUCAUGAGUUAUGAUUUUCUUUCUUAGGGAACUUGGUAUUGGAAUUGUUGCGUAUAGUCCUCUUGGGCGAGGAUUCUUUUCAUCAGGAACAAAGUUGCUUGACAACUUGCAACAGGAUGACUACAGGAAGGUUUGUGGAAAGAUACGUUUACAGAAGUUCCUGAGAAUUACUUAUUCAUUUUGUUAAUCAACUCACCUAACAGUGAUUCGCAACCAUGGAUUAUUUGAGGGUCCUUUAAUCUCAUACAUCAAUGAUAUCUUCGUUUUUAAAUUAUUUGUGCUCAUUUUCUGGAAUGAUAUUUUCUUUUAGCCCACCUUUUUUCUUCCAUAAAACAGUUUGGGAAUAGGUGUAACAGUAAUGGAUAACACUGUAAAUUGCUAGUGAACAUAAUUCAGAACUCUAAUAUAAACAAGACCAUGUAGUCAAUGUGUAUUGAAUACUUUGCCUUCUACCCUAAUUAACCUCUUAGUCUCGGUCGAUAUCUGAACCGUGAGGAGAUAUUCGAUGACAAACAAAAUGUUUAAAAAUAAAUAAAUAAUGGGCAUGAUUCAUUAGUAAAAACACUGGUUUAAAAAGAAGGAAAAUAUGAUGUGGUUUUCAUCUUUUCAUUCAUUAGGAUCUUUUGUUCCAUGCAUGCAUAUUGUAGAAAUUUGUGACCUAACUUAUCCUUACAAACCCAGCUUGUAAGGUGAAGAGUGCCUCCUCGUUAUAAACUCUUAUCAAGAGUCCUAUCUAACCGAUGUGGAACUAAAUCCACCCCCUCAAAGCCAACAUAAGGCAAGCCAGCACGAGGCAACUCAAAUGUCGCAAUUAGGCGACUAGGGGCGGAAUUUCAACACAUAUAACAAGUUAUUUAUGGUAACUCAACACAAAUAUUAUGGAACGAGAGUUUUAUAUGAUCAAACUGCAUUUGCCAUAUUCUGUCUUUUAAACAUGUGUAAAUAUGUUGCAGCAUUUGCCUAGAUUUCAACCUGAAAACCUGCAGCAGAAUCAGACUAUAUUUGAUAAGGUUAAUGAACUGGCUGUAAAGAAGGGAUGUACUCCAUCUCAGCUUGCACUAGCCUGGCUUCAUCACCAAGGAAACGACGUGUGCCCGAUACCUGGAACCACCAAAAUUGAGAACUUUAAUCAAAACAUUGGAGCUUUGUCUGUGAAACUAACACCAGAAGAAUAGCAGAACUUGAGUCUUUAGCAGAUGCUGUUAAGGGUGGUAGAUAUAGGGAAGAUAUAAGUACAUGGAAGAAUUCUGAUACUCUGCCACUCUCUUCUUGGAAAGCUGUGUAAUUAAGUGCUUUGCUUGCUUAAUGCUCAUACUAGUCUUUUACCUUGAAC